RNAcentral lists this ribosomal RNA (520 nucleotides) under Schindleria sp. 4 TK-2007. Its description in RNAcentral is "partial 16S rRNA". It matches the Rfam family "Bacterial large subunit ribosomal RNA", at positions 1851 to 2574 of the family's 2925-position model. The record is from RNAcentral. Lineage: Eukaryota; Metazoa; Chordata; Actinopteri; Gobiiformes; Schindleriidae.
GGUCCCGCCUGCCCUGUGACAUCAGUUUAACGGCCGCGGUAUACUAACCGUGCAAAGGUAGCGUAAUAACUUGCCUUUUAAAUGAAGGCCUGUAUGAAUGGCACCACGAGGGCCUAACUGUCUCCUUUCUCUAGUCAGUGAAAUUGACUUGUCCGUGAAGAGGCGGACAUUUCCCCAUUAGACGAGAAGACCCUGUGGAGCUUUAGACGAUAGAAAAGGCUAAGUUAAAAAUUCUCGUUAAAUUGUUAAACCUAUUACGCUCUUUCCUUAUGUUUUUGGUUGGGGCGACCGCGGGGUAGUAACUAACCCCCAGGAGGAACAGUUUUUACAACUUAAAAUUAGGGCUCCCUCCCUACUUAACAGAAAAUCUGCCCACUUGAUCCGGAGCAAUCUGAUCGACGGACCAAGUUACCCCAGGGAUAACAGCGCAAUCCUUCUCAAGAGCCCUUAUCGACGGGAGGGUUUACGACCUCGAUGUUGGAUCAGGACAUCCUAAUGGUGCAGCAGCUAUUAAGGGUUC